AUUGAACGCUGGCGGCAGGCCUAACACAUGCAAGUCGAGCGGAUGAGAGGAGCUUGCUCUUCGAUUCAGCGGCGGACGGGUGAGUAAUGCCUAGGAAUCUGCCUAGUAGUGGGGGACAACGUUUCGAAAGGAACGCUAAUACCGCAUACGUCCUACGGGAGAAAGUGGGGGAUCUUCGGACCUCACGCUAUUAGAUGAGCCUAGGUCGGAUUAGCUAGUUGGUAGGGUAACGGCCUACCAAGGCGACGAUCCGUAACUGGUCUGAGAGGAUGAUCAGUCACACGGGAAGUGCGACACGGGCCAGACGCCUACGGGGGGCAGCAGUGGGGAAUAUGGGACAAUGGGCGAAAGCCUGAUCCAGCCAUGCCGCGUGUGUGAAGAAGGCCCUCGGGUCGUAAAGCACUUUAAGUUGGGAGGAAGGGCUUACAGCGAAUACCUGUGAGUUUUGACGUUACCGACAGAAUAAGCACCGGCUAACUUCGUGCCAGCAGCCGCCGCGG
Molecule: ribosomal RNA, 500 nt
Filed under: uncultured bacterium
Lineage: Bacteria
Description: partial 16S ribosomal RNA
Rfam family: Bacterial small subunit ribosomal RNA
Source: RNAcentral